AUAUCAAUAAGCGGAGGAAAAGAAACCAACAGGGAUUGCCUCAGUAACGGCGAGUGAAGCGGCAACAGCUCAAAUUUGAAAUCUGGCUCUUUCAGGGUCCGGGUUGUAAUUUGUAGAAGAUGCUUCGGGUGUGGCUCCGGUCUAAGUUCCUUGGAACAGGACGUCAUAGAGGGUGAGAAUCCCGUAUGUGACUGGCUGCCUUCGCCCAUGUGAAGCUCUUUCGACGAGUCGAGUUGUUUGGGAAUGCAGCUCAAAAUGGGUGGUAAAUUUCAUCUAAAGCUAAAUAUUGGCCAGAGACCGAUAGCGCACAAGUAGAGUGAUCGAAAGAUGAAAAGCACUUUGGAAAGAGAGUUAAACAGUACGUGAAAUUGUUGAAAGGGAAGCGCUUGCAACCAGACUUGAGCGCGGCGGUUCCCCUAGCCUUUUGGCUAGGCUAUUCCGUCGUGACCAGGCCAACAUCGGUUCUGAGGGUCGGUUAAAGGCCCCGGGAAUGUAUCUACCCACGGGUAGACUUAUAGACCGGGGUGUCAUGCGGCCUCUCGGGACCGAGGAACGCGCUUCGGCUCGGAUGUUGGCGUAAUGGUUGUCAGCGA
Molecule: ribosomal RNA, 593 nt
Filed under: uncultured fungus
Lineage: Eukaryota; Fungi
Description: eukaryotic LSU rRNA
Rfam family: Eukaryotic large subunit ribosomal RNA
Source: RNAcentral